RNAcentral lists this transfer RNA (71 nucleotides) under Dermatophagoides pteronyssinus (European house dust mite). Its description in RNAcentral is "tRNA-Gln". It matches the Rfam family "tRNA". From Rfam's summary of the family: Transfer RNA (tRNA) molecules are approximately 80 nucleotides in length. Their secondary structure includes four short double-helical elements and three loops (D, anti-codon, and T loops). Lineage: Eukaryota; Metazoa; Arthropoda; Arachnida; Sarcoptiformes; Pyroglyphidae. The record is from Rfam by way of RNAcentral.
GGUUUUGUGGUGUAAUGGCAGCACUGAGGAUUCUGAUUCCUCCAAUCUGGGUUCGAUUCCCAGCAAAACCU